Long non-coding RNA from Oncorhynchus tshawytscha (Chinook salmon), 427 nucleotides. NCBI's taxonomy places the organism in Eukaryota, Metazoa, Chordata, Actinopteri, Salmoniformes, Salmonidae. The record is from Ensembl.
UUUAGGGUUAAAGUAGUGGGAUGGUGUAGGAUCCUUUAGGGUUAAAGUAGUGGGAUGGUGUAGGAUCCUUUAGGGUUAAAGUAGUGGGAUGGUGUUGGAUCCUUUAGGGUUAAAGUAGUGGGAUGGGAUGGUGUUGGAUCCUUUAGGGUUAAAGUAGUGGGAUGGUGUAGGAUCCUUUAGGGUUAAAGUAGUGGGAUGGUGUAGGAUCCUUUAGGGUUAAAGUAGUGGGAUGGUGUUGGAUCCUUUAGGGUUAAAGUAGUGGGAUGGUGUAGGAUCCUUUAGGGUUAAAGUAGUGGGCUGGGAUGGUGUAGGAUCCUUUAGGGUUAAAGUAGUGGGAUGGUGUAGGAUCCUUUAGGGUUAAAGUAGUGGGAUGGUGUAGGAUCCUUUAGGGUUAAAGUAGUGGGAUGGUGUAGGAUCCUUUAGGGUU